GGUGAACGCUGGCGGCGUGCUUGACACAUGCAAGUCGAACGGUAUGUGGCAACACAUAGAGUGGCGAACGGGUGAGUAACACGUGGGAACGUACCUUCUGCAGGGGGAUAACUGACCGAAAGGACAGCUAAUACCGCAUAAGACCGAGAGGAGAAAGGUGCAACAGCAUCGGCAGAGGAGCGGCCCGCGGACCAUCAGCUAGUUGGUGGGGUAAGAGCCUACCAAGGCAACGACGGAUAGCCGGCGUGAGAGCGUGGCCGGCCACAAGGACACUGAGAUACGGGUCCUACUCCUACGGGAGGCAGCAGUGCGGAAUUUUAGAUAAUGGAGGCAACUCUGAUCUAGCGACGCCGCGUGCAGGAAGAAGGUCUUCGGAUUGUAAACUGCUGUGGUAAGGGAAAAAUGCCAUGUAGAGUGGAAAGCUACAUGGAGGGAUGGUACUUUACUAGAAAGCCCCGGCUAACUACGUGCCAGCAGCCGCGGUAAUACGUAGGGGGCGAGCGUUACCCGGAAUCACUGGGCGUAAAGGGAGCGUAGGUGGCCUGACAUGUCGACUGUGAAAACCCGGAGCUCAACACCGGACUUGCAGUUGAAACUGCCAGGCUUGAGGACGGUAGAGGAAGACGGAACUGCCAGUGUAGGGGUAAAAUCCUUAGAUAUUGGCAGGAACGCCGGUGACGAAGGUGGUUUUCUGGGCCGGUUCUGACACUGAUGCUCGAAAGCCAGGGGAGCGAACGGGAUUAGAUACCCCGGUAGUCCU
This 760-nucleotide ribosomal RNA is filed under the name uncultured bacterium. Its description in RNAcentral is "bacterial SSU rRNA". It matches the Rfam family "Bacterial small subunit ribosomal RNA", at positions 28 to 797 of the family's 1533-position model. The record is from RNAcentral.